AGUGGUAGAGUGCUAGCCUUAAGAAAAAAAGUUAAUGGACAGUGCCCAGGCCCCGAGUUCAAACUCUACUUCUCCCCAUGCAUACACGUGUACGUGUGUGGGGUGCAUACGCGCACACACACACACACACACACAGAUACGUUCAUGAAUGCCCAAUGGAUACUAAUAGUUUGUGUAUAGGAAGACUCCUAUCAGUAGCUACUUGAUGGGCAGCGUUGAAAUAAUCUGAUAAAUCUUAUCUCUCCACUUUCAACACUACAGCUAAAUAGUGAUACAGUAUUUCAAAGACUAGAAAUCCUAUGAAAAGUGAAUCCUCUGCACUUUGUACCUGUCUAUCACUUUGCUUCUGGAUAAGGAGAGUUGUUCUCAGCCCCUGGCCUCCUGAUCUGGAGCAAAUGCUAAUGGAAAGUCUCCUGCCAGAAGACUCCCCUGUGGUCCAAGGAAUGUAAGAGCAGAGCCAGCUUUUAUUGUUUUCCUACUUGGCUCUUCCACCACCAUCCCUCCACCACAGCCGUUAAUUACAGUCCUUUUUCUGUGAGCUGCUUCAUGUUUAUACUGAUGACUAUGCAAUACAUGACCUACCACAAGGACUUUGCUCUAAGUGGUAUUUGAUGAUCAUACCUAAAACUUCCCUGUUCACACCAAGUCCUCAUGUUGUGUUCUUCAUACAGCUUUACUCCACACAAUAUUUUUUAUUAUCAGAACCAUUUUUCUCCAUAAACUAAACCCAAACAGAUUUCAGAUAUCAGAUUAGAUUCAGUGUAAAUAUAAGGAGAAAAGAUUACUAGAAAAAAAAUUCCCCUACAGAAGAAUAAUGAAGGAAUAGUAAAGAAAUUAUUCUGUCUUGAGAGAGAUCCCAGCCUCAGGGGUAGACCAGCACAAGUCUACCCUUCUUGAUUGAAACGUAGUGCUGGCAACAGGUGUACAUGCAAAGCCACUAGUGAUCCUGGCUGCCAGUGAAUUUGGCAGCCAAGUGGUGAUGAGGCUUAGUCAAGCUGUUGAAAUGUCUGGACUAAAAGUGGGCCGAAGGGAUAAAGUCAGAGGGCAGACAGCAGACAACCCGAGGGAGAUGGCUUUUCUCUGGCCUUGGCAGCAGUCCUCGUAUAGUGUCAGAAAAUAAAUAUCAUGCUUUGAAAACGCCCAUGUAAAAUAUUAGAAAGUCACUUUCACACUUACCAUCCAUUGUAAGUAGACCAUGUGGAUUAGCUUGCCUUCAGUGCAUGGUCCCCUCAAAUGCCUAGAACUCAGAAUCACAGAAAAGACAACUCAGCUAUGUUCCAAUUAUCUAGUGAUGAUAUUUCAAGAAUACUGUUCAUGGUUAAAAAUAGCAGCAUACUAACUGUGGUUUUCUCCUGGCUAUUUCUGCAGUCAUUAUAAGACUGAAUAGACAUCUCAAUACACUCCAUAUAGCACAGAUGAAAUAGAUAUUAUAUAUAAUGUAGGGAAGUGAAACAUGUUCUAUUCAUUGCAAAACGGGAAGGAAAAAAAAACAGUACGACUAGCAGUUUGUUUCCAUAAUGAUUCCUUUGCUCAACAGAAUUCUACUGAGUUGAUGUUUCUUGACUCUUACUAUAAAAGUUGAUGGGCCAGGCACUGGUGGCUCACACCACCUCCAGAUCAGAGUUCAAAACCAUUCUAGGCAAGAAAGGCGGUAAGACUUUAUCUCU
Molecule: long non-coding RNA, 1667 nt
Organism: Perognathus longimembris pacificus (Pacific pocket mouse)
Lineage: Eukaryota; Metazoa; Chordata; Mammalia; Rodentia; Heteromyidae
Exons: 3
Source: RefSeq, a predicted model, not a curated record